GGGACGGUGGUUAAGUGGUAGGAUGCUCGCCUGUCACGCGGGCGGCCUGGAUUCGAUUCCCGGCCGAUGCG
Non-coding RNA from Haemonchus contortus (barber pole worm), 71 nucleotides. Lineage: Eukaryota; Metazoa; Nematoda; Chromadorea; Rhabditida; Trichostrongylidae. The record is from Rfam.